This 401-nucleotide long non-coding RNA is filed under the name Mus spicilegus (steppe mouse). RNAcentral's name for it is "lncRNA (ENSMSIG00000026635.1)". The record is from RNAcentral. Lineage: Eukaryota; Metazoa; Chordata; Mammalia; Rodentia; Muridae.
UUUUGUUGCCAAGCCUUCAGGGAAUACUUCAUACCCAAGCCACACACUUGACAAAAGCUAUUCCAGUGCCGAGGGCUCCAUCUACCUUGGCCAAAGUCCAGACCUCUUUGUGGCCGGUGUCAUCAGUAAGUCAGCCAUGUCUUCUUGGAUCUGAGUUGUCCUUCUACAAUGUGUAAGCUCAGGACUCUUCCCAUCAAGACUGGGCAAAAACAGAAAACUGAGUGGACUUCCAAGCCCUCAGGAUCCACUGUUGAGAACAAGAAAAGGAAAAUAUGUAAGGCCUCUUCCCUACUGUCUGUGCAAUGCCUUUGGGUGGCUUGACAAUGACCAAACUGCAAACACAGCCACUGGACCCAGAGUUUGUGCAAUAUGCAGCUGCUUUGCAUAAAUAAAUACUUGUA